AAAUUCACAAUCCAUGAACAACGCCGCCGUUUCGGUGUCUUACAGAUUCCAAGGGUGCGGCAAGCGAUUAAUGGAUGAUCAUCGAUCCUUCCAAUCACAGAGAUCUGCAUCCUCCAUGUAAUUCUCUUCCUUAGUUUAAUGAUUCUAAUUCAAAUAGCUUUGCUCUCCAUCUCUGGCUCUUACUCCUUCAGAUCUGCUGACUUGCAUAUGUCUUCUUAUAAUCUUCUGCUCUUCAUUGGUUCUGAGAAAGCAUUAAGGAGAUUAGGAGAAGGGGAGAUGUUAAUUCAAUUCAUGGUGUUGGCUUCUCAUUUGCGCUGACUAUUGCGGCAUUCGUACAAAUUCACAUUAUGCCAUAUGAUAUCCAGGUGCUUUUCUGAUCUGUAUUGAACAUAUUUUACGCGCCUUAUAUGGUGGCAUGUCUUGUCAAAAGCAUUUUUCUAGUAGUAGUGAUGAAAAUCUGAGGAAAAACAUGUAUAGAUAAACAAGCAGAAUUCCCAAAAAAAAAAUUGGUUGACAUUUUUUUACCGGAUGAGUAGUUCUUUCAUGAAUCACUACAACUAGCAAUAUAUAGUAAAUGUAUGAACUUCUCUUGGUCGAUAAAUACAUUGUAUAGUUAGUUUUAGAAUUCAAAGAUAAUGGAUCUAUCUAUUCCAUCUACUAAAUAUUUCCUUUGGUUUUGACAUACAAAAUGUUUUCAGUUCAUGUGUGUCAAGAAAAAAAACAAGGGCCCCUUGUUGUCUUCCUGCCCCGGGCCCCGUAUAUAUGUGGACCGGCCCUGACAGCUUAUAGGAAGAGUGGAAAUAUCACAAUCGAUAUUGCGACAUCUAAUCCAAACAACAUAUCAACAACAUCCCUAUUCUUUCUUUCCUAGCUUUAGGAUCAGAUUUAUGCCCUACAGAAGGAGUAAAUCCGACAACCCUAUUCUUUCUUUCCUAGCUUUAGGGUCAGAUUUAUGCCCUAUAGAAGGAGUAAAUCCUUGGCGCUAUUUUUGAUGUUCAAGGGAUUUACAAUCAUGCAACAAGCAUUCCUUGUAGGGUGCAUGUCUAUAGCUCGAGACCACAUCUGUAUAGUGUCCGCUCUAGAGUCUGCUCUUCCAGCAGCACCCGUGUGUGCUUCAGACUCUUUCCUUUCAUAUAUUUCUACCAUGUCGUUCGGAAUAUUUUCAAGAGAUAACCGGGACUGAGUCCUCAUCCUCCGCUUAUUAAUUUUUGAGACAACUUCAUAAUACCCAGCAAUCCGGAAAAUGUAUAAAAAUUAAGAGAAUUGGGUGUAAGGGGCGAGGUGGGACAACUUAAUAGGCGAAUCAACCUUCUAUCACACAAACGACACGAGCUAGCUGAACGAACAACGAUAUUAGUUAUACCGUGGAAGUCAUGAGCUCCAUUCAUCGCACUAGCUACUAUUUUUGCUUUUGUAUGGCUUAAACCGUCCAGGAUAGAUGGGCUGCUUCAUUGGCGCGAGUGAGCCGACUUCUAAGGGCGACGUGCGAAACAGGAAAAAUGAGACAUUAAAAUCGUGUCAAACCUACGGAAACUUUUUUUUUUCACUUACCAUGGCAGUGGUGGGCAAUUUUCAUCGACUAUAAGGAUAAUUGUCACGACGGACGGACGGACAAAGUUUUCAGAGAAAUGCACUGUCCUUUAUUAAUAGGUAUGGAUUGGUGCUAUAAUCAGUUAUACAUGCCAAAACAAGUUUUAGGCUUUUAAAAAAUUGGCUUUGAACUUUUGAAUACACACUCUUCAACCGCCUCUGUUCAUAGGUUGGGAUGCACUUGCGUUCAUACGUUCAUAGAAAUAAGUGCGCAUGCAUGUGGUGAACAUCUUGCUGGUACAUUACCCUUCUUAAAGAAAUAUAAGAGCGUUUAGAUUAUUAAAAAUGCUCUUGUAUUUCUUUACAGAGAGAGUAGUAUGUUGAAGUACUAAACCUUUUCUACACGCAAGAAUGAUAUGCCCUCGCAUUCACGAGAGUCACUCGUGGUUAAAACAAAGGGACUAGAGAGAUCGAUAGAAGCAGAGGGAGUGCUGUAGUGGGCUGGCUUUUACCUCUUGCGUGGUCGUUCUCUCGCCGAGUCGCCGCGCGCCCGUAGGAGGGAUGUUGGGAUCUCGUCGGCCGAGAGAGAGGGAGCGACGGCGGCCGGAACCCCGCCGAGCCGGGAGGAGAUGGAGCAAAACUUGGGUGUAUUCUGGCUGGUGAGCGAGACUGCGAC
RNAcentral lists this long non-coding RNA (2206 nucleotides) under Triticum aestivum (bread wheat). RNAcentral's name for it is "long non-coding RNA (TAES_LNC021723)". The record is from RNAcentral. Lineage: Eukaryota; Viridiplantae; Streptophyta; Magnoliopsida; Poales; Poaceae.